GACGAACGCUGGCGGCGUGCUUAACACAUGCAAGUCGAACGGAAAGGCCCUGCUUUUGUGGGGUGCUCGAGUGGCGAACGGGUGAGUAACACGUGAGUAACCUGCCCUUGACUUUGGGAUAACUUCAGGAAACUGGGGCUAAUACCGGAUAGGAGCUCCUGCUGCAUGGUGGGGGUUGGAAAGUUUCGGCGGUUGGGGAUGGACUCGCGGCUUAUCAGCUUGUUGGUGGGGUAGUGGCUUACCAAGGCUUUGACGGGUAGCCGGCCUGAGAGGGUGACCGGCCACAUUGGGACUGAGAUACGGCCCAGACUCCUACGGGAGGCAGCAGUGGGGAAUAUUGCACAAUGGGCGGAAGCCUGAUGCAGCAACGCCGCGUGCGGGAUGACGGCCUUCGGGUUGUAAACCGCUUUCGCCUGUGACGAAGCGUGAGUGACGGUAAUGGGUAAAGAAGCACCGGCUAACUACGUGCCAGCAGCCGCGGUGAUACGUAGGGUGCGAGCGUUGUCCGGAUUUAUUGGGCGUAAAGGGCUCGUAGGUGGUUGAUCGCGUCGGAAGUGUAAUCUCGGGGCUUAACCCUGAGCGUGCUUUCGAUACGGGUUGACUUGAGGAAGGUAGGGGAGAAUGGAAUUCCUGGUGGAGCGGUGGAAUGCGCAGAUAUCAGGAGGAACACCAGUGGCGAAGGCGGUUCUCUGGGCCUUUCCUGACGCUGAGGAGCGAAAGCGUGGGGAGCGAACAGGCUUAGAUACCCUGGUAGUCCACGCUGUAAACGGUGGGUACUAGGUGUGGGGUCCAUUCCACGGGUUCCGUGCCGUAGCUAACGCUUUAAGUACCCCGCCUGGGGAGUACGGCCGCAAGGCUAAAACUCAAAGGAAUUGACGGGGCCCCGCACAAGCGGCGGAGCAUGCGGAUUAAUUCGAUGCAACGCGUAGAACCUUACCUGGGUUUGACAUGGAUCGGGAGUGCUCAGAGAUGGGUGUGCCUCUUUUGGGGUCGGUUCACAGGUGGUGCAUGGCUGUCGUCAGCUCGUGUCGUGAGAUGUUGGGUUAAGUCCCGCAACGAGCGCAACCCUUGUUCACUGUUGCCAGCACGUUAUGGUGGGGACUCAGUGGAGACCGCCGGGGUCAACUCGGAGGAAGGUGGGGAUGACGUCAAGUCAUCAUGCCCCUUAUGUCCAGGGCUUCACGCAUGCUACAAUGGCUGGUACAGAGAGUGGCGAGCCUGUGAGGGUGAGCGAAUCUCGGAAAGCCGGUCUCAGUUCGGAUUGGGGUCUGCAACUCGACCUCAUGAAGUCGGAGUCGCUAGUAAUCGCAGAUCAGCAACGCUGCGGUGAAUACGUUCCCGGG
Molecule: ribosomal RNA, 1343 nt
Filed under: uncultured bacterium
Lineage: Bacteria
Description: 16S ribosomal RNA
Rfam family: Bacterial small subunit ribosomal RNA
Source: RNAcentral